AAGAGCCUGAGAUUGGUGCUCUUGG
RNAcentral lists this non-coding RNA (25 nucleotides) under Mus musculus (house mouse). The record is from RNAcentral. Lineage: Eukaryota; Metazoa; Chordata; Mammalia; Rodentia; Muridae.